This 467-nucleotide ribosomal RNA is filed under the name uncultured bacterium. Its description in RNAcentral is "partial 16S ribosomal RNA". It matches the Rfam family "Bacterial small subunit ribosomal RNA", at positions 28 to 506 of the family's 1533-position model. The record is from RNAcentral.
GACGAACGCUGGCGGCGUGCUUAACACAUGCAAGUCGAACGGAAAGGCCCUGCUUUUGUGGGGUGCUCGAGUGGCGAACGGGUGAGUAACACGUGAGUAACCUGCCCUUGACUUUGGGAUAACUUCAGGAAACUGGGGCUAAUACCGGAUAGGAGCUCCUGCUGCAUGGUGGGGGUUGGAAAGUUUCGGCGGUUGGGGAUGGACUCGCGGCUUAUCAGCUUGUUGGUGGGGUAGUGGCUUACCAAGGCUUUGACGGGUAGCCGGCCUGAGAGGGUGCCCGGCCACAGUGGAACUGCGAUACGGCGCAGACACCUACGGGAGGCAGCAGAGGGGAAUAUUGCAGAAUGAGCGGAGGACUGAGGCAGCAGCGCCGCGUGCGGGAUGACGGCCUUCGGGUUGUAAACCGCUUUCGCCUGUGACGAAGCGUGAGGGACGGUAAUGGGUAAAGAAGCACCGGCUAACUACGU